RNAcentral lists this ribosomal RNA (272 nucleotides) under uncultured bacterium. Its description in RNAcentral is "partial 16S ribosomal RNA". It matches the Rfam family "Bacterial small subunit ribosomal RNA", at positions 524 to 796 of the family's 1533-position model. The record is from RNAcentral.
GACGUAGGACGCGAGCGUUAUCCGGAUUUACUGGGCGUAAAGCGUCUGUAGGCGGAAGUGUAAGUUGGACGUGAAAGCUCCGGGCUCAACUCGGAGAGGCCGUUCAAUACUGCACAACUAGAGGCCAUCAGAGGGGCGUGGAAUUUCCGGUGUAGCGGUAAAAUGCGCAGAUAUCGGAAGGAACACCAGUGGCGAAGGCGGCGCCCUGGGGUGGGCCUGACGCUAAGAGACGAAAGCUAGGGGAGCGAACAGGAUUAGAACCCGAGUAGUCC